Molecule: unclassified non-coding RNA, 497 nt
Filed under: Hevea brasiliensis (rubber tree)
Lineage: Eukaryota; Viridiplantae; Streptophyta; Magnoliopsida; Malpighiales; Euphorbiaceae
Source: RNAcentral
GAAAGCCGGAGGCCACGUGUUCAUGCUGAAUUUACGAAGAUUCUCUUGCCAGGGGAUAUAACGCAAUGAAAAUGUUGUGAUUGUAGGUCAAAACGAAAUCGUUUUGAAUUGGGCCUAUUCUUUAGAAUUUCUCGGCCCAUGUUCAAAAGGAGAAACUAUUAAUGGUUCGUGGAGGCUGCGUUUUCUCGUAAUUUAUUUUACUUCCCAUCGGCACGAAACGAGGGAAUUUGCAGCAGAGGAGGGAGGGAAUUUGUUUCUCUCUCGAAUUCGAUGCACUGAUCCCAGUAUAUACGUAUACAUGCGUACGCAUACCUAUCGUGAAUUUCUCUAUUAUCAGGUGGUUUAUGCAUUGGGAGUUAGGGUUUUAGGCUUUACUUUCUUGGAUUGAAUUUUUCAAGUGGGAUAUAUCAGAGGAAGAAGAUGUUCUCUGUUCUUGUUUAACUUUAACAAUCGAGUUUAAAAUUAGUGUUUCUUUCCUUUCAAUUUCAAUCUUAGCU